RNAcentral lists this transfer RNA (73 nucleotides) under Leucocryptos marina. Its description in RNAcentral is "tRNA-Trp". It matches the Rfam family "tRNA". From Rfam's summary of the family: Transfer RNA (tRNA) molecules are approximately 80 nucleotides in length. Lineage: Eukaryota; Cryptophyceae; Kathablepharidacea; Katablepharidaceae. The record is from RNAcentral.
UGAGAGAGUAGAUUAAUGGUAGAUCAGCGGUCUCCAAAACCGUUAGUACAAGUUCGAAUCUUGUCUCUCUUGU